UGUGAACUCGAAGAGUAGGGCGGGACACGUGGUAUCCUGUCUGAAUAUGGGGGGACCAUCCUCCAAGGCUAAAUACUCCUGACUGACCGAUAGUGAACCAGUACCGUGAGGGAAAGGCGAAAAGAACCCCGGCGAGGGGAGUGAAAAAGAACCUGAAACCGUGUACGUACAAGCAGUGGGAGCACCUUCGGGUGUGACUGCGUACCUUUUGUAUAAUGGGUCAGCGACUUAUAUUCUGUAGCAAGGUUAACCGUAUAGGGGAGCCGCAGGGAAACCGAGUCUUAACUGGGCGUUAAGUUGCAGGGUAUAGACCCGAAACCCGGUGAUCUAGCCAUGGGCAGGUUGAAGGUUGGGUAACACUAACUGGAGGACCGAACCGACUAAUGUUGAAAAAUUAGCGGAUGACUUGUGGCUGGGGGUGAAAGGCCAAUCAAACCGGGAGAUAGCUGGUUCUCCCCGAAAGCUAUUUAGGUAGCGCCUCGUGAAUUCAUCUUCGGGGGUAGAGCACUGUUUCGGCUAGGGGGUCAUCCCGACUUACCAACCCGAUGCAAACUACGAAUACCGAAGAAUGUUAUCACGGGAGACACACGGCGGGUGCUAACGUCCGUCGUGAAGAGGGAAACAACCCAGACCGCCAGCUAAGGUCCCAAAGUCACAGUUAAGUGGGAAACGAUGUGGGAAGGCACAGACAGCCAGGAUGUUGGCUUAGAAGCAGCCAUCAUUUAAAGAAAGCGUAAUAGCUCACUGGUCGAGUCGGCCUGCGCGGAAGAUGUAACGGGGCUAAACUGUGCACCGAAGCUGCGGCAGCGACACUAUGUGUUGUUGGGUAGGGGAGCGUUCUGUAAGCCUGCGAAGGUGGCCUGUGAGGGUUGCUGGAGGUAUCAGAAGUGCGAAUGCUGACAUAAGUAACGAUAAUGCGGGUGAAAAGCCCGCACGCCGGAAGACCAAGGGUUCCUGUCCAACGUUAAUCGGGGCAGGGUGAGUCGACCCCUAAGGCGAGGCCGAAAGGCGUAGUCGAUGGGAAACAGGUUAAUAUUCCUGUACUUGGUGUUACUGCGAAGGGGGGACGGAGAAGGCUAUGUUAGCCGGGCGACGGUUGUCCCGGUUUAAGCAUGUAGGCGGAGGUUCCAGGUAAAUCCGGUACCUUUUUAACGCUGAGGUGUGAUGACGAGGCACUACGGUGCUGAAGUAACAAAUGCCCUGCUUCCAGGAAAAGC
This 1217-nucleotide ribosomal RNA is filed under the name Klebsiella aerogenes. Its description in RNAcentral is "partial 23S ribosomal RNA". It matches the Rfam family "Bacterial large subunit ribosomal RNA", at positions 398 to 1618 of the family's 2925-position model. Lineage: Bacteria; Pseudomonadati; Pseudomonadota; Gammaproteobacteria; Enterobacterales; Enterobacteriaceae. The record is from RNAcentral.